Daedaleopsis nitida is the source of this 92-nucleotide non-coding RNA. NCBI's taxonomy places the organism in Eukaryota, Fungi, Basidiomycota, Agaricomycetes, Polyporales, Polyporaceae. The record is from the annotation of a GenBank genome assembly.
GGUUCAAUGGUGUAGUUGGUUAUCACGUCUGUCUCACAGCAUCCGUUUGCUUAGAACACAGGAGGUCUCCAGUUCGAGCCUGGAUUGAACCA